UGGCUACAUCAUGUUUAAACACUGGUUACUGUAUGAUCACUGGAAUUAAGCAACAUUGAGCACAGCCAGUACCUAGAUGGGUGACCACUUGGGAAUACCAGGUGUUGUAA
This is a non-coding RNA of Acanthosepion pharaonis, 110 nucleotides long. Lineage: Eukaryota; Metazoa; Mollusca; Cephalopoda; Sepiida; Sepiidae. The record is from the annotation of a GenBank genome assembly.